AAGAUGAGUUUACUGUUUUUACUGUUCAUCAAAGGGUAGAAAAGGCGAUUUUGCCCUUACUGUUCGUGGAGAAUAUCAAGCUGGUCUUCUAUAAACCGUGAAUGAAGACAACGCCUUGAUUUGGUAGUGGAUUCGGGAACCUUCGCAAAAACAAAGAAAAGAAUCACCGACUGAAAUAGAGAGUGAGAGAGAGAGAGAGAGAGAGAGAGAGAGAGAGAGAGAGAGUUCUGCUGUGGUUCUUCGUCUCGCUUAGAUUGAUAGUGAGGGAGGUUGUUGAUCGGCAUAGACAGGUCUCAAUUUUCGUUUGUUUCCAGCUUGGAGGCAUAAAAGAUUGUAUCGGAAUUGCAAAGCUCUGAUUUUUGGUGUGGGUGGAGGCUUUUAAUUAGUGUCCAUCGCUAGGGUGGAGUUUGCCAUUGGAGGCUUAAUCGUGGACACCAAGGUGUUCUAUUGGCCAAGAAAGGUCUUUUGCUAUGGAUUUCCAGUAUUUGUGUAGAUUUGGAUCCUUCUCAGCUUUGCUGAUUAAAAUUUUUCGGUGAAGGAUUGGAUUUAGUGUGCUUAGCUUUGCUGAUUGAAGAAGAUGAAUGGGAAAAUGAGCUCUUCUUCAGCUUCAGAAGCUAUACUUGAACCAUUGAAUCAACUUUUGUCAUCAGAGGUGAUCAACUUGCCUACCACUGUAAUCCAGAAAUGACGAUUUUACCCUCAUUUUAAUGUUUUUUUACCACUCUGCCAUUGACCUGGGUAUGCUAGAUUCUUCCAUCGGUUUCUUCUUCCAAAUGAUGAGGAGAGAGUAACUCCACCGCUCGGUCCAUUUAGAAUGCUGUUCAUAUGAAUUCGGAAGGUGCAGACUCUUCUUCUUUAUUUCUUCGAUGCUCUCCGGUAGCAUUUGAGAGAGUUCAGACCUAGAGAAUAGCUUGGAGAACAUCAAGUGCCAGUUUGCUUCCGGUUUCCGUUGGAGCUUGCUCCAGGGCCCACUCCUCAAGCGAUCCAAGACUGUACAAACAAAGACUCUAAGCAACAGAUUAGCCACUUUAUUUUCAGGGAGAGGAGACUAGAGUUGUUUGCAAACUGGAGAGCUAAGGGUGGUGUUUUCUUGAUUGGCUACUCCAUUUUCAAAAACUUAUCCCUUGGACCCUGUAAGUUAAUUUUUUGCUAAAUCCCUAUAUUAUGGGAUACGUAUUGAAGGGGUGGGGAUUUGGAGUGCAGACAAAGAGAAGAGGUUUCAUUGUUAAGAAUCGUAAGCAAUUGUUUCUUUGCUGGUUUGCAAGUUCACAAG
Long non-coding RNA from Rosa rugosa (rugosa rose), 1273 nucleotides. RefSeq lists it as uncharacterized. The transcript has 9 exons. The record is from RefSeq and is a predicted model, not a curated record. Lineage: Eukaryota; Viridiplantae; Streptophyta; Magnoliopsida; Rosales; Rosaceae.